This 465-nucleotide ribosomal RNA is filed under the name Vreelandella stevensii. RNAcentral describes it as "partial 16S ribosomal RNA". It matches the Rfam family "Bacterial small subunit ribosomal RNA", at positions 338 to 795 of the family's 1533-position model. Lineage: Bacteria; Pseudomonadati; Pseudomonadota; Gammaproteobacteria; Oceanospirillales; Halomonadaceae. The record is from RNAcentral.
CCUACGGGGGGCUGCAGUGGGGAAUAUUGGACAAUGGGCGAAAGCCUGAUCCAGCCAUGCCGCGUGUGUGAAGAAGGCCUUCGGGUUGUAAAGCACUUUCAGUGGGGAAGAAAGCCUUGGGGCUAAUACCCUCGAGGAAGGACAUCACCCACAGAAGAAGCACCGGCUAACUCCGUGCCAGCAGCCGCGGUAAUACGGAGGGUGCGAGCGUUAAUCGGAAUUACUGGGCGUAAAGCGCGCGUAGGCGGUCUGAUAAGCCGGUUGUGAAAGCCCCGGGCUCAACCUGGGAACGGCAUCCGGAACUGUCAGGCUAGAGUGCAGGAGAGGAAGGUAGAAUUCCAGGUGUAGCGGUGAAAUGCGUAGAGAUCGGGAGGAAUACCAGUGGCGAAGGCGGCCCUCUGGACUGACACUGACGCUGAGGUGCGAAAGCGUGGGUAGCAAACAGGAUUAGAUACCCGAGUAGUC